Molecule: non-coding RNA, 815 nt
Organism: Castor canadensis (American beaver)
Lineage: Eukaryota; Metazoa; Chordata; Mammalia; Rodentia; Castoridae
Source: RefSeq, a predicted model, not a curated record
CUCUAACACAUUACUGAAGCAAACUUAGCUUCUAUUUUCCUGUGCUUCUAUUAUCUAGGAGUUGAUACCAAAGCUUGGUUGUGGAAUGAAUGCAUUGACAACAUUUGGUGGCCAAAUAGCCAUUCAGAGUAUUUACUUGCUAGCAGAAUGUACUGACUGACCCAUACAUUCUUUAAGAUGUACUUAGGAGUGUUUGGGGGCUUGUGCUCCCUGGCUGUGGCUGUGUCGCUUUCUGGUAAAGGCAUAUAGUUGGUAGCUGUGGCGUCUGGGCUGGGAUGAACCGCGCUCCCGGUGGGUCAGGAGAGCCGAGCAUGAUCCAUGACCAGCACAGUGGUUGCAGUUGGACUGAGCAUUGCUGCUAUGGGAUUUGCAGGCCGAUAUGUCUUACAAGCCAUGAAGCAUAUGGAGCCUCAAGUAAAACAAGUUUUUCAAAGUCUACCAAAAUCUGCCUUCAGUGGUGGCUAUUACAGAGGUGGGUUUGAACCCAAAAUGACAAAACGAGAAGCAUCAUUAAUACUAGGUGUAAGCCCUACUGUCAAUAAAGGAAAAAUAAGAGAUGCUCACCGACCAAUUAUGCUCUUAAAUCAUCCAGACAAAGGAGGAUCUCCUUAUAUAGCAGCCAAAAUCAUUGAAGCUAAAGAUUUACUAGAAGGUCACGCUAAAAAAUGAAAAAUAUGAUGAAUUUUAAGUUCAUACUAGUAUAAUUUAUGUGUAUGGUUACCAGCUUUUUAUUAAACAAUGCCUCAGAUAAACUUUUAUAAAUGAUUCAGUACAAACAAGUUAAAAAAAAAAAAAGAUGUACUUGGAUCUUAACU